UGAACGCUAGCGACAGGCCUAACACAUGCAAGUCGAGGGGCAGCACAAGGAGCAAUCUGAGGUGGCGACCGGCGCACGGGUGAGUAACACGUAUGCAACCUGCCUGUAAGCGGGGAAUAACCCGUUGAAAAGACGGACUAAUACCGCAUAAUACUAAAUUACUGCAUGGUAAUUUAUUUAAACAUUUAUGGCUUACAGAUGGGCAUGCGCAUGAUUAGCUAGUUGGAGAGGUAACGGCUCCCCAAGGCAACGAUCAUUAGGGGUUCUGAGAGGAAGGUCCCCCCACACUGGUACUGAGACACGGACCAGACUCCUACGGGAGGCAGCAGUGAGGAAUAUUGGUCAAUGGACGAGAGUCUGAACCAGCCAAGUCGCGUGCAGGAAGAAUUGUCCUAUGGAUUGUAAACUGCUUUUGCAGGGGAAUAAAGUGCAUCACGUGUGAUGUUUUGUAUGUACUCUGCGAAUAAGGAUCGGCUAACUCCGUGCCAGCCGCCGC
Molecule: ribosomal RNA, 496 nt
Filed under: uncultured bacterium
Lineage: Bacteria
Description: bacterial SSU rRNA
Rfam family: Bacterial small subunit ribosomal RNA
Source: RNAcentral